UGAAUAUGCUAUUAUUUUGUGUUAAUUACUUUUGUUAUUUAUAAAUCUUUAUUUUUUCAAUUUUUAGAUGAUUUAUAUUUAAUUGGGGUGACUGAAUCAAUAGGCUAGGGGUAUGCCCCGUAUCCGCAUAAUAAAAUUAUUCCUAUUAUUUACUGCUUAUUUAUUAAUCACUUAUGUCAAGUUAAUAAUGAACAACUAUUGUUAGACAAAUAAAGUACCAAUAAACUAGACAUGAAUUUUCUUUAUGUUUUUUAAAAGAGAAUUUUUAUUUUCG
Molecule: unclassified non-coding RNA, 274 nt
Filed under: Hevea brasiliensis (rubber tree)
Lineage: Eukaryota; Viridiplantae; Streptophyta; Magnoliopsida; Malpighiales; Euphorbiaceae
Source: RNAcentral